RNAcentral lists this ribosomal RNA (443 nucleotides) under uncultured bacterium. RNAcentral's name for it is "partial 16S ribosomal RNA". It matches the Rfam family "Bacterial small subunit ribosomal RNA", at positions 338 to 795 of the family's 1533-position model. The record is from RNAcentral.
CCUACGGGCGGCAGCAGUGGGGAAUAUUGGGCAAUGGGCGCAAGCCUGACCCAGCAACGCCGCGUGAAGGAAGAAGGCUUUCGGGUUGUAAACUUCUUUUGUCAGGGACGAAGCACGUGACGGGACCGGACGAAUAAGCAAGGGCUAACUACGGGCCAGCAGCCGCGGGAAUACGUAGUUGGCACGCGUUCUCCGGAUUGACUGGGUGUAAAGGGCGUGUAGGCGGGACUGCAAGGCAGAUGUGAAAACCAUGGGCUCACCCUGUGGCCGUCAGUUGAAACUGUGGUUCUUGAGUCCUGGAGAGGCAGACGGAAUUCCUAGUGUAGCGGUGAAAUGCGUCGAUAUUAGGAGGAACACCAGUGGCGCGGGCGGUCUGCUGGACAGCAACUGACGCUGAGGCGCGAACGCGUGGGGAGCAAACAGGAUUAGAUACCCUAGUAGUC